UUUAUGGAGAGUUUGAUCCUGGCUCAGGAUGAACGCUGGCGGCGUGCCUAACACAUGCAAGUCGAGCGGCAGCGAGGGGUGCUUGCACCCUGUCGGCGAGCGGCGGACGGCUGAGUAACGCGUGGGAACGUGCCCCAAAGUGAGGAAUAACUGCCCGAAAGGGUAGCUAAUACCGCAUAUUAUCUUCGGAUCAAAGGAUUUAUCCGCUUUGGGAGCGGCCCGCGUCGGAUUAGGUAGUUGGUGAGGUAAUGGCUCACCAAGCCGACGAUCCGUAGCUGGUCUGAGAGGAUGACCAGCCAGACUGGAACUGAGACAC
This 316-nucleotide ribosomal RNA is filed under the name Candidatus Saccharimonadota bacterium. RNAcentral describes it as "bacterial SSU rRNA". It matches the Rfam family "Bacterial small subunit ribosomal RNA", at positions 1 to 327 of the family's 1533-position model. The record is from RNAcentral. Lineage: Bacteria; Candidatus Saccharimonadota.